RNAcentral lists this small nuclear RNA (119 nucleotides) under Helianthus annuus (common sunflower). RNAcentral describes it as "U5 spliceosomal RNA". It matches the Rfam family "U5 spliceosomal RNA". From Rfam's summary of the family: U5 RNA is a component of both types of known spliceosome. Lineage: Eukaryota; Viridiplantae; Streptophyta; Magnoliopsida; Asterales; Asteraceae. The record is from RNAcentral.
AGCCACGCAGUGAAUACAAAGCGAACUAUUCUUUCGCCUUUUACUAAAGAAUACGUGUAUUCGCUGCCUUCAAGUGGCAUACGCCUAUUUUUGGAGAGACUCUUCGACAGUUGAAGGGC